This 1372-nucleotide ribosomal RNA is filed under the name uncultured bacterium. RNAcentral's name for it is "bacterial SSU rRNA". It matches the Rfam family "Bacterial small subunit ribosomal RNA", at positions 28 to 1381 of the family's 1533-position model. The record is from RNAcentral.
GAUGAACGCUGGCGGCGUGCCUAAUACAUGCAAGUCGAGCGAACGGACGAGAAGCUUGCUUCUCUGAUGUUAGCGGCGGACGGGUGAGUAACACGUGGAUAACCUACCUAUAAGACUGGGAUAACUUCGGGAAACCGGAGCUAAUACCGGAUAAUAUUUUGAACCGCAUGGUUCAAAAGUGAAAGACGGUCUUGCUGUCACUUAUAGAUGGAUCCGCGCUGCAUUAGCUGGUUGGUAAGGUAACGGCUUACCAAGGCAACGAUGCAUAGCCGACCUGAGAGGGUGAUCGGCCACACUGGAACUGAGACACGGUCCAGACUCCUACGGGAGGCAGCAGUAGGGAAUCUUCCGCAAUGGGCGAAAGCCUGACGGAGCAACGCCGCGUGAGUGAUGAAGGUCUUCGGAUCGUAAAACUCUGUUAUUAGGGAAGAACAUAUGUGUAAGUAACUGUGCACAUCUUGACGGUACCUAAUCAGAAAGCCACGGCUAACUACGUGCCAGCAGCCGCGGUAAUACGUAGGUGGCAAGCGUUAUCCGGAAUUAUUGGGCGUAAAGCGCGCGUAGGCGGUUUUUUAAGUCUGAUGUGAAAGCCCACGGCUCAACCGUGGAGGGUCAUUGGAAACUGGAAAACUUGAGUGCAGAAGAGGAAAGUGGAAUUCCAUGUGUAGCGGUGAAAUGCGCAGAGAUAUGGAGGAACACCAGUGGCGAAGGCGACUUUCUGGUCUGUAACUGACGCUGAUGUGCGAAAGCGUGGGGAUCAAACAGGAUUAGAUACCCUGGUAGUCCACGCCGUAAACGAUGAGUGCUAAGUGUUAGGGGGUUUCCGCCCCUUAGUGCUGCAGCUAACGCAUUAAGCACUCCGCCUGGGGAGUACGACCGCAAGGUUGAAACUCAAAGGAAUUGACGGGGACCCGCACAAGCGGUGGAGCAUGUGGUUUAAUUCGAAGCAACGCGAAGAACCUUACCAAAUCUUGACAUCCUUUGACAACUCUAGAGAUAGAGCCUUCCCCUUCGGGGGACAAAGUGACAGGUGGUGCAUGGUUGUCGUCAGCUCGUGUCGUGAGAUGUUGGGUUAAGUCCCGCAACGAGCGCAACCCUUAAGCUUAGUUGCCAUCAUUAAGUUGGGCACUCUAAGUUGACUGCCGGUGACAAACCGGAGGAAGGUGGGGAUGACGUCAAAUCAUCAUGCCCCUUAUGAUUUGGGCUACACACGUGCUACAAUGGACAAUACAAAGGGCAGCGAAACCGCGAGGUCAAGCAAAUCCCAUAAAGUUGUUCUCAGUUCGGAUUGUAGUCUGCAACUCGACUACAUGAAGCUGGAAUCGCUAGUAAUCGUAGAUCAGCAUGCUACGGUGAAUACGUUCCCGGGUCU